GAUGAACGCUGGCGGCGUGCCUAAUACAUGCAAGUCGAGCGAACGGACGAGAAGCUUGCUUCUCUGGUGUUAGCGGCGGACGGGUGAGUAACACGUGGAUAACCUACCUAUAAGACUGGGAUAACUUCGGGAAACCGGAGCUAAUACCGGAUAAUAUUUUGAACCGCAUGGUUCAAAAGUGAAAGACGGUCUUGCUGUCACUUAUAGAUGGAUCCGCGCUGCAUUAGCUAGUUGGUAAGGUAACGGCUUACCAAGGCAACGAUGCAUAGCCGACCUGAGAGGGUGAUCGGCCACACUGGAACUGAGACACGGUCCAGACUCCUACGGGAGGCAGCAGUAGGGAAUCUUCCGCAAUGGGCGAAAGCCUGACGGAGCAACGCCGCGUGAGUGAUGAAGGUCUUCGGAUCGUAAAACUCUGUUAUAGGGAAGAACAUAUGUGUAAGUAACUGUGCACAUCUUGACGGUACCUAAUCAGAAAGCCACGGCUAACUACGUG
This 496-nucleotide ribosomal RNA is filed under the name uncultured bacterium. RNAcentral describes it as "partial 16S ribosomal RNA". It matches the Rfam family "Bacterial small subunit ribosomal RNA", at positions 28 to 507 of the family's 1533-position model. The record is from RNAcentral.